RNAcentral lists this unclassified non-coding RNA (159 nucleotides) under soil metagenome. RNAcentral describes it as "partial internal transcribed spacer 1". The record is from RNAcentral.
ACGAGUUUUAAUGGUUAGGUUAGAGUUGAGCUGGUUAAUCUAAUUAAUAUGUGCUUACUCUAAUCGAAACAAGUCCACUCAUUACUUAACACUUGCGAACUUAUUCAUUACAAACAUUAUUAUUUGUUAUUGGAACGUUUGAUUAUUAAAAAGUUAAUA